This 453-nucleotide ribosomal RNA is filed under the name Bacillus sp. (in: firmicutes). RNAcentral describes it as "bacterial SSU rRNA". It matches the Rfam family "Bacterial small subunit ribosomal RNA", at positions 341 to 787 of the family's 1533-position model. The record is from RNAcentral. Lineage: Bacteria; Bacillati; Bacillota; Bacilli; Caryophanales; Bacillaceae.
ACGGGAGGCAGCAGUAGGGAAUCUUCCGCAAUGGACGCAAGUCUGACGGAGCAACGCCGCGUGAGUGAUGAAGGUUUUCGGAUCGUAAAGCUCUGUUGCCAGGGAAGAACGUCCGAGUGAGUAACUGCACUCGGAGUGACGGUACCUGAGAAGAAAGCCCCGGCUAACUACGUGCCAGCAGCCGCGGUAAUACGUAGGGGGCAAGCGUUGUCCGGAAUUAUUGGGCGUAAAGCGCGCGCAGGCGGCUUUUUAAGUCCGGUGUCACAGCCCAAGGCUCAACCUUGGGUCGCACUGGAAACUGGAGAGCUUGAGUACAGAAGAGGAAAGUGGAAUUCCACGUGUAGCGGUGAAAUGCGUAGAGAUGUGGAGGAACACCAGUGGCGAAGGCGACUUUCUGGGCUGUAACUGACGCUGAGGCGCGAAAGCGUGGGGAGCAAACAGGAUUAGAUACCC